Molecule: long non-coding RNA, 347 nt
Filed under: Lepisosteus oculatus (spotted gar)
Lineage: Eukaryota; Metazoa; Chordata; Actinopteri; Semionotiformes; Lepisosteidae
Description: lncRNA (ENSLOCG00000021447.1)
Source: RNAcentral
CAGAGAGGAACGUGUCGGAGUCUCACAGCGAUCUCUCCAUCUCCCCCAGGACGGGCAUGCUGCACUCGAACCCGGGGGACUAUGCAUGGGGUCAGGGCGGGCUGGACGCUGUCAUCACGCAGGUGAGUGACAUCACCGGACCCCUUUAUGACAUCAUCUGAGCUGCUGCUGGGUCAGUUUGAGAACACUGGUCCCCCGCCCGCUGAGAAGGAGAAAAUCUCGUCUCUGCCCACAGUGCAUGUCUCUCAGGAACAAGUCGGUAAGAAAAGCUGCCCGUUAUUAGUAUCAGUAACUUCACCACCUCUCCUGCUUCCUCUUAGACUGCAGACAUGGUGAGAAGGGCUGUG